UCCGUUCUUGCCAGAUACAAUACACUGUAGCUGCGAAACCCAGUUUACGAGAAAAGUUGACGAAACUUUUGCCAUGCCAAGAGAGAGUGGCCAAUCGAAUCCAUUCAUCCAAGCUUUUUGUCAUUCUUGGAAUGUCGCAUCUGUCACAAACCUUCCACCAUAAUGCUUUCGUAAAGCUGCAUUCAAAGAAUAAGUGGUUGUGAUCUUCA
RNAcentral lists this long non-coding RNA (209 nucleotides) under Populus tremula. RNAcentral describes it as "long non-coding RNA (PTRE_LNC002203)". Lineage: Eukaryota; Viridiplantae; Streptophyta; Magnoliopsida; Malpighiales; Salicaceae. The record is from RNAcentral.